CUGGUUGAUCCUGCCAGUAGUCAUAUGCUUGUCUCAAAGAUUAAGCCAUGCAUGUCUCAGUAUAAGCUUCUACACGGCGAAACUGCGAAUGGCUCAUUAAAACAGUUAUCGUUCAUUUGGUGGUCAUUUCCUACAUGGAUAACCGUGGUAAUUCUAGAGCUAAUACAUGCGCCCAAACCUGACUCCGUGGAAGGGUUGUGUUUAUUAGUUACAGAACCAACCCAGGCUCUGCCUGGUCUUGUGGUGAUUCAUAAUAACUGAAUGAAUCGCAUUGCAUCAGCUGGCGAUGAGUCAUUCAAGU
RNAcentral lists this ribosomal RNA (301 nucleotides) under uncultured eukaryote. Its description in RNAcentral is "SSU rRNA". It matches the Rfam family "Eukaryotic small subunit ribosomal RNA", at positions 4 to 304 of the family's 1831-position model. The record is from RNAcentral.